CCACCACCACCACCACCUUUUAGGAAGCCUCAGCAUGAACAGAGAAAGGAGCAGGAGCCAAAAAGACCUCACAUUAAGAAGCCUCUGAAUGCUUUUAUGUUAUACAUGAAAGAAAUGAGAGCGAAUGUCGUUGCUGAGUGUACUCUAAAAGAAAGUGCAGCUAUCAACCAGAUUCUUGGCAGAAGGUGGCAUGCCCUCUCCCGUGAAGAGCAGGCUAAAUAUUAUGAAUUAGCACGGAAAGAAAGACAGCUACAUAUGCAGCUUUAUCCAGGCUGGUCUGCAAGAGACAAUUAUGUAAGCCCCUCCUCCAUACCAGUGGCUCUCCACUCUCACUCAUUCGCUCUUUUGCGUUCAAGAAGGAAAUGUGUUUUAGGUGUAUAUAAUGCUGGUACUACUUAUUUUUUGGAAGUUAAUGAACUUUGUAAUAAGGAUUUCAUGGAUAUAUUGCAUUAUGAAAGCUUCGAGCUAUCUUUUUUUUUUUGCUAUGGGUGCUAAUGAAUGCUUUUAAAUAAAAUUUUUGAAAUAAA
Molecule: long non-coding RNA, 527 nt
Filed under: Homo sapiens (human)
Lineage: Eukaryota; Metazoa; Chordata; Mammalia; Primates; Hominidae
Description: non-protein coding lnc-LEF1-1:5
Source: RNAcentral